Molecule: transfer RNA, 51 nt
Filed under: Conus maioensis
Lineage: Eukaryota; Metazoa; Mollusca; Gastropoda; Neogastropoda; Conidae
Description: tRNA-Ile
Source: RNAcentral
GGAAAUCAUUGAUGUUGAUUAAUAUGGGAUUAGGAAAUAUCUCUAGUGCUA